Long non-coding RNA from Trifolium pratense (red clover), 1906 nucleotides. RefSeq lists it as uncharacterized. The transcript is spliced from 3 exons. The record is from RefSeq and is a predicted model, not a curated record. Lineage: Eukaryota; Viridiplantae; Streptophyta; Magnoliopsida; Fabales; Fabaceae.
AAAAAAAAACUGUAUUGCUGAAGUUCAUUCAUUCCAUUUACUAAGAUGAUGAUAUUGGUUUCAUAGGUUGUCCAUUGCUGCCAGAAGCAUCUUCAUUCAAUUCUAAUUGAGAAGACAGAAGCUGCAGAAUCAACUUUGCUUUCAAAAUGUAGGACUAUAUGUGUUUGGCACCCAACAAGUUGAAGCGUAUAAAAUACGACCUUUCCAACCUUGAAGCAUCCAAUUCUUGUCUUCAUCAACAUCAAAAUCUCUACGGUACCACUGCUUUAAGUUAGUCCUAAAUUUUGCCAUUAAUUCUUGGUCCAAUAGAAGCUGCUUGAAACCAGCCUUAGUAUUCCUAACCUGCCACAGUUUAUAUGUCUCAGGCCUCUCAACUCUCUCUAAACCUUCACAUGCUACCACAUUCAUAAUUUCCCUACCCAUAAUUUCCCUCUCUAUCAUUGUCCUCCAUUCAUUUUCUCUUGGUAUGACAGUGUCCAACAUAUCAUAACUAGCAGAAAAAUGAAAUCAUGCCUCCCUAAAACGUGUUGCAAAGAAUGGUGAAUUAUACGAUCCAUUAAUAACAGAAAGAGUAAAAAUAUCAGGAUUUAUCUUCCUAAUAAAAUGCAGAACCGCAUUUCUAGGACUGUUCACUUUGAUGCUCUCAUCUAUUAAAUUCUUAAACCUUGUCAUACAGUUUACAGAGAUUACCUCAUUGCUUUCAAUUCUAACAUCUUCAACUCGAAUUUUUUCCCAAUUCUGUGAUGCUAUGAUAUUGUACUCGAAUGGAACACUGAAACUCUUGCAGUAGUUGGCCAGACGGCGACCAGUCUCCUCAAUUCUUCCAGUCGGACAAAAUCCAGCAGCAGUGAUCCUCUUGGUGCUUGGCGAGGAAUAGAAUGUUUGUGCACCGGCUCCCUCACCUACAAGGCGUGCCUCAAGUCCAUUAGCAAAGUAAUGUGUUACCCUUUGUGAUGCAUCUCCAAAGAGCGAAGUGUGUUUCCUAAUCUGCUUCAGUAGUUCCCUAGCAUUCCUGUUGUCAUUGGCAUACAAAGCUUGUGAGCACAGAAGCAGAAGAUUCCUCAAAUCAAUCGUUUCGUUUUUGCUAUUAUGUUUCUUAGGACGAGCCUUAGCUCCACCAGCUGAAGGCGUGUUCUCAUUCGGAAAGCAAUCAUUUUCGUCAUUAAGUAAAGCUUUAUCAAACAUUUCUGAUAGCUCAUCCUCAUCAACACCACCACCAAUAGCUGAUUGCUUGUUAUUUCUCCUCCCUUCUUCAUCUUCUUCGCGCUCGUGAUUCUUUCUACCUUUCAACACAACUGAAUUAUCUUUCUCCUCGAAUAUAUUGAAGUUGGAUGAUUCUAGACUAGUCAAGAGCUGAGGCUGAGGAGGAAGAAACUUGUUGGCUUCUUCAAAACCUCUCUUGAAUUGGGAAACAGAAUCUGCAUUUCCGAAAAUGUUUUGUGCUAACAAAUUGGUAAUAGAAGAAUCCAAAUCAACAAGUCCAUCACUAACACUAGUUGAAAGAGGGGAAAUAAACUGAAAAACAUGAGUACCAAGAUCAGAAACAAGGGUAUCAGGAGAAAGAGGUUUCGUUGAGCUAUUACUAGUGCUGCUGAUUCUUUGAUCAGAGUUAUGAAAAUGUAAGGGGUGUUGAUUGGGGGAAAGAGCAUCAAAGAAUGAUUUUUCUGUGAUUUGUAAGCUAAGUGGAUCAUAAUAGGGUCUCAGAUCAAAGUUUUCUUCCAUAAGUAUUUGGGUUAUGAACUUUGUGGUUUCUGAAAAAUCAGUGUCUUCCAUAUAACCUUGUUGAAACUCAUCAUCACAGUUUGAAUAAUCCAUAUGGUUGAGAAACAGUAAUCUGAUAUCAUCAGAUUACAGUUGUUGUGGAAAGAUAAUCUAUAAAUAACAAUACUUUAUUUAUUGUCGAUAA